UCCAACUUUAACUCACGCACCCAGCCUCUUCUCUCAGCUCGCAGUCACGUACUCCAUACUCACCUACUCCAUAAGCCUCCUUCUUCUCUUGUACAAGUAAGCCCCUCCAGCCACCAUCACCGCCCACCAUCACCACUGGCUCCUCUCCUCCAAAGUCCGGCCGUUCUUCUCCUCCAAAAUUGACAGUGCUGGCCUCCGGACUCCGGCCUUUCUUCUUCACCGGCCUAGCUGCGUCCUCCUCUGCGUCAUCUUCACCGGCGAAGAGGGAUUAGAUGGUAUUAACAUCUUCUAAGUCGUACGAGAUGGUAUUAACCAGAAAGAGUCAAAUGUGAAAAGAUUGAUGGAUGAGUUGCAGGGAGAUCUUUCCGAGGUGUUUAUGAAUACAAAUUACUAGCUUUCGUCCCUUAGUGCAUCAAAAUGAAGAUCAGUGACAGUUUGGCAUAAUUUAAGAUGUAUGAGAAUCAAAAUGAAGGUCAAGAUCAUGUGUUAAUGAGGGCUAGAUAUCAAGAUCAUGUAAAUGAGUUUGUUGAAACUUGCUCGUGAUCGAUCAAUAAUAGCUUGGCACCUGGUUAUAUCACGCGCAUUUAAACAGGUCCAACUAUUUGUCAUGAAGAAGAGCUGGAUAAAAGUUACUGAAGUUACAGCAAUCACUCGUCAAACUGGAAUUAAACGUUUGGUUGUAGCUCACAAGAAGUAAAUCAUUUGCUGCAUUCAUGCUGCUGAAGUGCUGAAGUACUGCUUUCUUUGGGAGUUGACGAACUGCUAAAUAGAGUUUAACAACAUACAGAGGAUAUCGUUUGAAGAAGGGAAUGCUGUUGAGACUCUUGAAGAAGCGAAAUCUGCUCUCCAACAAUUAACAAAUAAUGGUCAGAUUUAAAAAUUUCAGAAAUGAACAGAGUGAAAACGUUAUGAUCUAUUAACUAUGGUGACUAUGGUUGCGUCAUUGACGGAGGUUUUCAAAACUCCAAGGGAGGGGCCCUUUACCAAAAAGGAGUUGGAUGAAGUUCGAGACAAGUGGGCUACUUACUUCAACGAUUGUGAACUACUCUCAGUGUAAUAAAUAGAGAAGGCUUGUAGUUAUUCGUGACUCUUACAUUAUUUUGUUAUUUAUCGAUUUAAUUAAUUACAUUUGAAUUAAUUCGGUAAUAUUAUUGGAAAUUUGAAAUUUAUAUCAUUUUUGAGAAUGUCAA
This is a long non-coding RNA of Spinacia oleracea (spinach), 1190 nucleotides long. RefSeq lists it as uncharacterized. The record is from RefSeq and is a predicted model, not a curated record. The transcript has 5 exons. NCBI's taxonomy places the organism in Eukaryota, Viridiplantae, Streptophyta, Magnoliopsida, Caryophyllales, Amaranthaceae.